Molecule: unclassified non-coding RNA, 56 nt
Filed under: Candidatus Scalindua brodae
Lineage: Bacteria; Pseudomonadati; Planctomycetota; Candidatus Brocadiia; Candidatus Brocadiales; Candidatus Scalinduaceae
Description: RNA (34-MER) from Candidatus Scalindua brodae (PDB 7XT4, chain r)
Source: RNAcentral
GACUUAAUGUCACGGUACCCAAUUUUCUGCCCCGGACUCCACGGCUGUUACUAGAG